CCAGAUGGGAUUAGCUUGUUGGUGAGGUAACGGCUCACCAAGGCGACGAUCCCUAGCUGGUCUGAGAGGAUGACCAGCCACACUGGAACUGAGACACGGUCCAGACUCCUACGGGAGGCAGCAGUGGGGAAUAUUGCACAAUGGGCGCAAGCCUGAUGCAGCCAUGCCGCGUGUAUGAAGAAGGCCUUCGGGUUGUAAAGUACUUUCAGCGGGGAGGAAGGUGUUGUGGUUAAUAACCGCAGCAAUUGACGUUACCCGCAGAAGAAGCACCGGCUAACUCCGUGCCAGCAGCCGCGGUAAUACGGAGGGUGCAAGCGUUAAUCGGAAUUACUGGGCGUAAAGCGCACGCAGGCGGUCUGUCAAGUCGGAUGUGAAAUCCCCGGGCUCAACCUGGGAACUGCAUUCGAAACUGGCAGGCUUGAGUCUUGUAGAGGGGGGUAGAAUUCCAGGUGUAGCGGUGAAAUGCGUAGAGAUCUGGAGGAAUACCGGUGGCGAAGGCGGCCCCCUGGACAAAGACUGACGCUCAGGUGCGAAAGCGUGGGGAGCAAACAGGAUUAGAUACCCUGGUAGUCCACGCCGUAAACGAUGUCUACUUGGAGGUUGUGCCCUUGAGGCGUGGCUUCCGGAGCUAACGCGUUAAGUAGACCGCCUGGGGAGUACGGCCGCAAGGUUAAAACUCAAAUGAAUUGACGGGGGCCCGCACAAGCGGUGGAGCAUGUGGUUUAAUUCGAUGCAACGCGAAGAACCUUACCUGGUCUUGACAUCCACGGAAGUUUUCAGAGAUGAGAAUGUGCCUUCGGGAACCGUGAGACAGGUGCUGCAUGGCUGUCGUCAGCUCGUGUUGUGAAAUGUUGGGUUAAGUCCCGCAACGAGCGCAACCCUUAUCCUUUGUUGCCAGCGGUCCGGCCGGGAACUCAAAGGAGACUGCCAGUGAUAAACUGGAGGAAGGUGGGGAUGACGUCAAGUCAUCAUGGCCCUUACGACCAGGGCUACACACGUGCUACAAUGGCGCAUACAAAGAGAAGCGACCUCGCGAGAGCAAGCGGACCUCAUAAAGUGCGUCGUAGUCCGGAUUGGAGUCUGCAACUCGACUCCAUGAAGUCGGAAUCGCUAGUAAUCGUGGAUCAGAAUGCCACGGUGAAUACGUUCCCGGGCCUUGUACACACCGCCCGUCACACCAUGGGAGUGGGUUGCAAAAGAAGUAGGUAGCUUAACCUUCGGGAGGGCGCUUACCACUUUGUGAUUCAUGACUGGGGUGAAGUCGUAACAAGGUAACCGUAGGGGAACCUGCGGUUGGAUCACCUCCUUACCUUAAAGAAGC
This 1321-nucleotide ribosomal RNA is filed under the name Salmonella enterica. RNAcentral's name for it is "bacterial SSU rRNA". It matches the Rfam family "Bacterial small subunit ribosomal RNA", at positions 231 to 1533 of the family's 1533-position model. Lineage: Bacteria; Pseudomonadati; Pseudomonadota; Gammaproteobacteria; Enterobacterales; Enterobacteriaceae. The record is from RNAcentral.